GAAAUGCGAUACGUAAUGCGAAUUGCAGAACGCGAGUCAUCAAAUCUUUGAACGCACCUGGCACUUUCCCGAGAGGGGGAGUAUGCUUGUUUCAGUGUCGCCUAACCCUCCCCACCGCGCCGGCAACGGUUGCGGGUCCGCGGGGUCGCUGAGCCUCUGGGCGCCGGUUCCGGCGGCCGCAGGCUUCAAGUUCAACACCUUCCUCGUGCCCCCGGCGACGUCCCGCGUCCGCUGUGGCAUGGUGUGGCAGUAUCGCGCCGCUCGCGGCGAGAUUACACCAACGCCCCCAAGCCGCAAACAGCAGCGCGCCGCGCGCGUCCGCCACCAGCAGCAGCACGAGAGGCGCCAUGGUUGCAUGGCGCCGCCCCCCAACAAACCACCUCAUUUAUCGACCUGAAAU
This 400-nucleotide unclassified non-coding RNA is filed under the name uncultured fungus. RNAcentral's name for it is "sequence contains ITS1". The stretch from base 1 to 100 matches the Rfam family "5.8S ribosomal RNA", at positions 50 to 154 of the family's 154-position model. Lineage: Eukaryota; Fungi. The record is from RNAcentral.